GGCAACUUGGCCGAGCGGUUAUGGCGCCAGUUUCAGGUACAACCAACCUACUGGUUCGAAAGAGCGUGGGUUCGAGUCCCACAGUUGUCA
RNAcentral lists this transfer RNA (90 nucleotides) under Blumeria hordei DH14. RNAcentral describes it as "tRNA-Leu for anticodon CAG". It matches the Rfam family "tRNA". Rfam says of the family: Transfer RNA (tRNA) molecules are approximately 80 nucleotides in length. Their secondary structure includes four short double-helical elements and three loops (D, anti-codon, and T loops). Further hydrogen bonds mediate the characteristic L-shaped molecular structure. tRNAs have two regions of fundamental functional importance: the anti-codon, which is responsible for specific mRNA codon recognition, and the 3' end, to which the tRNAs corresponding amino acid is attached (by aminoacyl-tRNA synthetases). tRNAs cope with the degeneracy of the genetic code in two manners: having more than one tRNA (with a specific anti-codon) for a particular amino acid; and 'wobble' base-pairing, i.e. permitting non-standard base-pairing at the 3rd anti-codon position. The record is from Rfam by way of RNAcentral. Lineage: Eukaryota; Fungi; Ascomycota; Leotiomycetes; Helotiales; Erysiphaceae.